This 77-nucleotide transfer RNA is filed under the name Sandaracinus sp. Its description in RNAcentral is "tRNA-Pro". It matches the Rfam family "tRNA". Rfam says of the family: Transfer RNA (tRNA) molecules are approximately 80 nucleotides in length. Their secondary structure includes four short double-helical elements and three loops (D, anti-codon, and T loops). Further hydrogen bonds mediate the characteristic L-shaped molecular structure. tRNAs have two regions of fundamental functional importance: the anti-codon, which is responsible for specific mRNA codon recognition, and the 3' end, to which the tRNAs corresponding amino acid is attached (by aminoacyl-tRNA synthetases). tRNAs cope with the degeneracy of the genetic code in two manners: having more than one tRNA (with a specific anti-codon) for a particular amino acid; and 'wobble' base-pairing, i.e. permitting non-standard base-pairing at the 3rd anti-codon position. RNAcentral also lists the same sequence under 4 other names. Lineage: Bacteria; Pseudomonadati; Myxococcota; Polyangiales; Sandaracinaceae. The record is from RNAcentral.
CGGGGCGUAGCGCAGUUUGGUAGCGCGCACGGUUCGGGACCGUGAGGUCGAAGGUUCAAAUCCUUUCGCCCCGACCA